RNAcentral lists this ribosomal RNA (237 nucleotides) under uncultured bacterium. RNAcentral describes it as "partial 16S ribosomal RNA". It matches the Rfam family "Archaeal small subunit ribosomal RNA", at positions 474 to 712 of the family's 1478-position model. The record is from RNAcentral.
UACCAGCACCCCGAGUGGUCGGGACGUUUAUUGGGCCUAAAGCAUCCGUAGCCGGUUCUACAAGUCUUCCGUUAAAUCCACCUGCUUAACAGAUGGGCUGCGGAAGAUACUAUGGAGCUAGGAGGCGGGAGAGGCAAGCGGUACUCGAUGGGUAGGGGUAAAAUCCGUUGAUCCAUUGAAGACCACCAGUGGCGAAGGCGGCUUGCCAGACGCGCUCGACGGUGAGGGAUGAAAGCU